CUCUCUCCGUCUUUCUCUCUCCCGUGUACAUCUCCGUCUCACUCACUCUCUCUCGCUCUUCCUCCCUUAUUCUUAACUCUCCCGUGAACAAUCUCCUCUCACUCCCCCUUUUCUCUCUUUUCCUCGAUAAUUUAUUGUCUGGUUUUUCUCUAUUUCCCUAUGUCUCUCCCUAUCAAGACAACAUCGCCUAGAGCUUUAUGCUUCGAUGAGAUAAGUUUCUGUAAAUCUUAACCCUAAAUGCUAACAUUUUUGCCUUUCUCUCUCAUCUCUCUCGUCUCUCUUCCAUAUGCAUGUCUCUCUUUCUACCUCUUGUGUCUCUUUCACUUCCUCGCUCUUUUCCCCCUCCUCCCUCUGUCUUGACUUCUUUCCCCCCUCAUCCGUCUCUACUUCUCUGUUAUUUAUUUAUUUUUGUUUAUAGGUUUUCCUCUUUUCUGGUUUUGUGUGCCUUGGUCUCCGUGGUGGUGGCAGUGGAGGCGGUGGCAUUGUCAAUGGGACUUCUAAGUUUGGCCUCUUUGGAUGGUCGACGAAACCGUUUACAUGGGGAAAUCGGAUUUGCUCCUCAAUACGCCUCACAUUGACGGAACCGUUUACUCUGUCUCCAUCUACUCGAUCGUUUAAUUAAGAGAGUAAAUUUGAAAGAGAGGGAAAGAGACAGCGAGUUGGUGGUUCCCAAGCCGAGUGAGUUCUGCUUGCAUUUUGAUUUCGUCGUAGACAAAGCAGCAGCAACGGAAUAAAAUGGAGGCAAAGUGACUCUUGAGUGGGUUUGGAUUGCAGUUCGCAGAGAGCCGACAUGCUGACUCACCAACCAACACAACCCACAUUCGAAAGGGCAUCAUUUCAGACGUGCCGUGAAGCGAUUGAAGGCUUGGGGUUUCUCUACAUUUUCACCUGCCUCCCCUUCUCCUCCAUGUUUUUUCUCAAAUCGGCUCCAAUAUCCGUCACGUCCCAUCUCUGUCGCUGUCUCUCUGUUAACAUACCGGACCACCUGUAAACCAACGGAUUCCAAUUUCAUCUUCUCUCUCUGAUUCUCUGUAGGCAUGGGGUUUCUUUACAUUUUCAUCCGCCUCUGCUUCUCCUUCGUGUUUUUUUCUCAAACCGACUCCAUUACCUAUCACGGAUUCACCACCUUUGUCUCUCUGUUACCCCUACUAGAUCACCUGUUAACCAACUGAUUCCAGUUCCAUCUUUUCUCUGCUUCUUUGUAGUUUCGUUUCGCCUGUACUUGGUUGGGGGUUAGCAUGGGAGACCAGCAUGGGCUUUUUUUUUUCAUGUCUUUUCUUGUUAGUAGACUAUUUUAUUGUUUUUUCUUGGUGAGUUUUGGUGCAGGUGUCAAGUGCCACAACCACCUUUUCUAUGACAUUCUCUUCAUCUAUGUUUAUUGUAGAAUAUUACCUUCUGAAGCGUUUCUCUCGAUAUGAUAAGUAAAACCACUGUAGUCUCUAUCAUUAUUCUUGAUUCUGUUCUGCCCCUUUUUGAAGGUCGAGAACAGUUCUUGACCCCAAAAAUAAAGAGAGAAAAAUAUGUAUUCGGGUGUACAUAUGAUGAAGUAUUUAAUUUACUAUUUAUAUUCUAUUUUUGAAUCCUUUUGGGCAGCUCUCUACUUUGUUGUUGUGGCAACCGUUGCUGCCUUUAUAGGGCAACAUGUAGUGAGGAGGCUUAUCAUUGUAUUAGGGGGGGGCAUCCCUCAUCAUCUUCAUCCUCUCCAUCACAAUCUUUGUCACUGCAAUCUCACUAGGUAGAGUUGGUAUAUCAAAUAUGAUUUAUAAGAUCGAGAAGAAUGAGUACAUGGGUUUUGAGAACCUCUGCAAGUUACCAUCAAACCCCAAUCUCCCCGUGUCUAACCUGUGAUACAUGGUAUCUUCCUUUUAUUUGAUCCAUUUUGUAGGAAUUUUAAGAUCUCAACUCUUCAUCGUACUUCUUUUUUGUUUGUUCUGGUUUUUUCGAACAUGCAUAAUCCGUUUUUCAGGUAUUUUAUGAUCUAGCUUUGCCAAAUGGUUUCAGUUCUCUGCUUGGGUUUCUAAUCCAGCCCCUGCGAAGUAGGGGCCCCCUCAAUCUAAUGCCUUCUCAGCGUUUAGGAAAUGGGAUCCUCGCGUGUGAGGCCAUGUGAAACUUUGAAUGGGUAUGUAGUACGUGUGAGAGGGAUACAAGAGAAAAUAGAGGUAAGGUUGAUUGUAUAUUUAGACAAUGAGUUUCCACGUGUCAAAUUGGACGAUAAUACAUGAUCUUAUAUAUAUACUAAAACCAAAAGGGCAUAUGGACGAUGCCCGAGCAUUCAAAAAAUGGAAUCUAACGCCUUCUCACCAUUUAGGAAAUGGGCUUCCAGUUGGAAGAUCACCUUACACUAGUCGUGUAGCGAGCCGAACCAAGUUGCAAGACAAAUGAUCAAAGAACCUGGGGUUGUUGACUUGGCGAGGUCGCUCCGAUGCUUAAGUCAGUAUUGUAUUCUGGUUGUGAGUUGAAAGCUUGAACGCUAGAAUGCUAGUGAGCAAGUAAUCGUGCGUACUUGAGUCUUGGGGGUUGAUGCCCUUGUAUAGCUGGGCGGCCGUAGGUCUCGUGAAACGCUCCCAGAAUCUUUGUCCUGUGACGUAGGAAUCCAUUAUGCUUUGGAAGGGGGGUAACGCAUCAAUUAAUAAUGUUUACCAUUUCCCUCCGAUUUGGGUGGGGUAAAGUUGAAGCCUACAGUUAUGCAACAUGAUCCCGAGAAGUUUGGAGACGAUUGUCGCUCCUAACUUCAGUUACAUGGCACCUCGGUGCAAGUGGGUACCGAGGUGCUUCAGGUCCGAAGUGGCCGAGCUCUCAUGUUCCCGAUCUAUUGACGUGGUACUAUAUGCUGAUUUGUCAUUUGGUUGGUAAGCUAUCCUUUACAUAUUAGGUCGGGCCAAAUCACUCCUCAUCAAUUGUCUUUCACUCUCCGUACUAGGGGUCCUGACCCGGUGCGGGGACUUCAUGGCGAGCCCAUGUGGAUUUUGCACGACUUCUAGGCGAUUUGGAGGGCAGCUCUUCGAUCGUACCUUAAUGACCCAUUUGGCUCGACUAGGGAAUACCCAGAUCGCGUACCGAGUAUGCGCAAACACCAUGCAAUUUAUAAACUCUACAGACGUCUAGACGUGUGUUUAACCAAUUUCAUUCUCGGGAGGCGUGUAACCAGUUUUCAUGGGAGCCAUCGGAUCAUGCAGAUCUUGACCGUUGAGUCCCGAUCGCGAUGGUUAUAAAUAAGGGGGGGGCCCAUUUUUUUCGCCACAUACUACAUACUCGAGUCUGUUGAAGUCGCGUUUCAUUCUUCCAGGUUGGUGUUAGUUGCCCUUGCAUCCGAGGUCUUUUCACUUCCUUCAGCUUUUCCUCUUAGCUCAGAAUGUCUAGUGUUAGCUUAGGUAGACUUUUUUAUGGGAGUGAAGAGUCAAUCGGGGCCGAGGUGGGCACCUCGACGUAAGCUGUAAAGUCACACCCUGCCGAGGUGAAUGCCUUAGUGUAGGGCACAGACUCCAACCUGUCCGAGGCGAACUCAUCUCGGCAGGAGUGUGAGGCUUUCGGCAAGGGGGCCUCCACUUUGCGUUGAGAUCGAGGACCAUACAGCUUUGGUCCUUCCAUGAUGACAGCUGACAGACUCCUAUCUUUGGUAGCUCGGUACAAGCUGCUUGUUAACCUUGUAUACAACAUUCCAUUAAAUAGUUUUCCUUGGGAUCACGGUCAUGACGAGAUCGUGGUGUUCGAAGAAUAGCUUGUAGCCGGGUUGCGAUUCCCACUUUACCCUUUCAUCAUCGAUGUCAACAAAUUUUUUGACAUCGCAACAAAUUAGCUCCAUCCCAACUCGAUCCACAACAUUGUAGGUACUAUUUCCCUUUUCCACGAUUAUAACCAACCUUUGACCCUGACAUUUUUUCUUCGAUUUACACCAUCAAAAAGAACAACGCUUGUGUCCUCCGGGAGCAUAGACGAAAUUACUAGAUGUCUCCUUGUCCUGGUUACAAAAUUUUGUACGACCUCCCCAACAAAGUCCUGGCCUGGAAGAGGCGCUAUUUCGUAGUUCGUAAUACUGUGGGGUGGUCAUUUCCAACCCGUUGGAGGCCUGCCAUUCAGGACCCUGACAUCAAGUUGGACAAAGAGACACAGGAGGAAGUUUGGUCUUGGGCGAAGCUCGGGUUGAAGUUCAAAAAAUUCAUGUUCGAAGAGAAGCUCGUACAAGUCGGACUGAGUCCUCCUGGCAGGUUGCCAUCUUAAUGCUAUUAGAUAGUGUAUGCCCU
This is a non-coding RNA of Nelumbo nucifera (sacred lotus), 4241 nucleotides long. NCBI's taxonomy places the organism in Eukaryota, Viridiplantae, Streptophyta, Magnoliopsida, Proteales, Nelumbonaceae. The record is from RefSeq and is a predicted model, not a curated record.